GAUGAACGCUGGCGGCGUGCUUAACACAUGCAAGUCGAACGGUGAAGGCGGAGCUUGCUCUGCUGGAUCAGUGGCGAACGGGUGAGUAACACGUGGGCAAUCUGCCUCUGGCUCGGGGUUACGCGCUGGAAACGGCGUCUAUAACUGGAUACGAGCUGCGAAGGCAUCUUCAGCAGCUGGAAAGUACUUCGGUCAGGGAUGAGCUUGGGGCCUAUCAGCUUGUUGGUGAGGUAACGGCUCACGAAGGCUUAGACGGGUAGCCGGCCUGAGGGGGUGACCAGCCCCCAUGCGACUGAGAGACGGAGCAGUGUCCAACGGUGGGCAAUGGUGGGGAACAUUGCACAGUGAGCCAGAGCGUGAUGAAGCAACGCCGCGGGAGGGAAGACGGCCUUCGGGUUAAAAAACUCUUUUCGCAAGGAAGGAGCGAAAGUGACGGUACCUGAAGAAAAAGCGCCGGCUAACUACGUG
Molecule: ribosomal RNA, 468 nt
Filed under: uncultured bacterium
Lineage: Bacteria
Description: partial 16S ribosomal RNA
Rfam family: Bacterial small subunit ribosomal RNA
Source: RNAcentral